GCACUGGACAAGGUUUGGUUGACCAGCAUGCACGCGUUGGCCUUGGAUCAUGCAAGCGAGUCCACAGCAUGACUGACAGACCAGGACAAAGCACAGCGUCGUCGCUUAAGGGCUCCAAAGUAGAAACGACAACAAAUGCCAUCUAAUGAGCCCAUGCAAAGGCCAGCAGUCCACAGAUGCUCUCAAAAAAGAGGCAAAGCAAGGGGAGAUAAGGAGAGUGAAGAAGAGAGGAAGAAGACGGGGCAGCUGCAGUGUGGGCAG
Long non-coding RNA from Nematolebias whitei (Rio pearlfish), 261 nucleotides. RefSeq lists it as uncharacterized. The transcript is spliced from 3 exons. Lineage: Eukaryota; Metazoa; Chordata; Actinopteri; Cyprinodontiformes; Rivulidae. The record is from RefSeq and is a predicted model, not a curated record.